ACGAACGCUGGCGGCGUGCCUAAUACAUGCAAGUCGAACGGUCUUUCUAUGGAAGCUUGCUUCCACGUGAGAAGAUAGUGGCGAACGGGUGAGUAACACGUGGGUAACCUGCCCAUAAGAGGGGGAGUAACAUCCGGAAACGGGUGCUAAUACCGCAUAGUUUUCUUGAUCGCAUGAUUGAGAAAGGAAAGACGGCCUUUGUGCUGUCGCUUAUGGAUGGACCCGCGGCGUAUUAGUUAGUUGGUGAGGUAACGGCUCACCAAGACGAUGAUACGUAGCCGACCUGAGAGGGUGAUCGGCCACAUUGGGACUGAGACACGGCCCAAACUCCUACGGGAGGCAGCAGUAGGGAAUCUUCCGCAAUGGACGAAAGUCUGACGGAGCAACGCCGCGUGAGUGAAGAAAAGGGUUUUCGGAUCGUAAAACUCUGUUGUCAGAGAAGAACAAGUUGGAGAGUAACUGCUUCAGCCUUGACGGUAUCUGACCAGAAAGCCACGGCUAACUACGUGCCAGCCGCCGC
RNAcentral lists this ribosomal RNA (520 nucleotides) under uncultured bacterium. RNAcentral's name for it is "bacterial SSU rRNA". It matches the Rfam family "Bacterial small subunit ribosomal RNA", at positions 29 to 518 of the family's 1533-position model. The record is from RNAcentral.